Molecule: ribosomal RNA, 309 nt
Filed under: uncultured eukaryote
Lineage: Eukaryota
Description: partial 18S ribosomal RNA
Rfam family: Eukaryotic small subunit ribosomal RNA
Source: RNAcentral
CCCUUAGAUGUUCUGGGCGGCCCGCGCACUACAAUGGCGUGUGCAGCGAGUGCCGAAGUAGAGUUUUCCGAGGUAUUCUUGCAAUGCUCGUUUUGAUGGGGAUAGGCCCUUGCAACUGUUGGUUUUGAACGAGGAAUUCCUUGUAAGCAUGGUUUAUCAUCCGACGCUGAAUGCGUCCCUGCCCUUUGUACACACCGCCCGUCGCUCCUACCGAUGAGUCGUCCGGUGAAGUUCGUAGACCUCGUGAUCGCGGAUCACUGGGGGAAGCAAAAUGAACCUCGCGGUUUAGAGGAAGGAGAAGUCGUAACA